Molecule: unclassified non-coding RNA, 357 nt
Filed under: Hevea brasiliensis (rubber tree)
Lineage: Eukaryota; Viridiplantae; Streptophyta; Magnoliopsida; Malpighiales; Euphorbiaceae
Source: RNAcentral
UAUUGGUUCAGUAUCAGACAAUAGCUUUUGUAAUGUAGCACGAGCUUCCUUCCAUGCAGGACGUCCCAGUUCCAGGAACUUGUUGAGAUUAGACUGAUUGAAACAAUCGGAAUUUUUGAGAAGAGGACCGUCAAAUAGAUCGGCGGAAGCAAUAACGGAGAGAUCCAAAACGUAAUCACCAAUGGCGACACCAAUUCUAGGUUCAAAAUCCGGCGCAGGCCGGAAAACGCCGUAGGGAAGGUUCUCGAUCGGAAAUUGGGAAUCCGAUUGAACUUCGACGAACGAUUUCAUUCCCAUACUAACCGGAAAACGGCACUGGCCAAAAUUGAAAACAGAGUAGAAGGAACAAUAAUGGAG